CUGCUGCCUCCCGUAGGAGUCUGGGCCGUGUCUCAGUCCCAAUGUGGCCGUCCACCCUCUCAGGCCGGCUACUGAUCGCUGCCUUGGUAGGCCGUUACCCUGCCAACUAGCUAAUCAGACGCGGAUCCAUCUUACACCACCGGAGUUUUUCACACUCCCCCAUGCGGGGCUGUGCGCUUAUGCGGUAUUAGCACCUAUUUCUAAGUGUUAUCCCCCAGUGUAAGGCAGGUUAUCCACGCGUUACUCACCCGUCCCG
This 256-nucleotide ribosomal RNA is filed under the name uncultured bacterium. Its description in RNAcentral is "partial 16S ribosomal RNA". The record is from RNAcentral.